GAUGAACGCUGGCGGCGUGCCUAAUACAUGCAAGUCGAGCGAACGGACGAGAAGCUUGCUUUUCUGAUGUUAGCGGCGGACGGGUGAGUAACACGUGGAUAACCUACCUAUAAGACUGGGAUAACUUCGGGAAACCGGAGCUAAUACCGGAUAAUAUUUUGAACCGCAUGGUUCAAAAGUGAAAGACGGUCUUGCUGUCACUUAUAGAUGGAUCCGCGCUGCAUUAGCUAGUUGGUAAGGUAACGGCUUACCAAGGCAACGAUGCAUAGCCGACCUGAGAGGGUGAUCGGCCACACUGGAACUGAGACACGGUCCAGACUCCUACGGGAGGCAGCAGUAGGGAAUCUUCCGCAAAGGGCGAAAGCCUGACGGAGCAACGCCGCGUGAGUGAUGAAGGUCUUCGGAUCGUAAAACUCUGUUAUUAGGAAAGAACAUAUGUGUAAGUAACUGAGCACAUCUUGACGGUACCUAAUCAGAAAGCCACGGCUAACUACGUG
RNAcentral lists this ribosomal RNA (497 nucleotides) under uncultured bacterium. RNAcentral describes it as "partial 16S ribosomal RNA". It matches the Rfam family "Bacterial small subunit ribosomal RNA", at positions 28 to 507 of the family's 1533-position model. The record is from RNAcentral.